Molecule: non-coding RNA, 189 nt
Organism: Plectropomus leopardus (leopard coralgrouper)
Lineage: Eukaryota; Metazoa; Chordata; Actinopteri; Perciformes; Serranidae
Source: RefSeq, a predicted model, not a curated record
AGUAUCUGGAGCUGCGCUUCAACAAGACGGUUCGCAUAUGUGGGACUGUGACCUUCAUCUUUCAGAUGGUCAUUUAUAUGGGGGUGGUCCUGUAUGCCCCAGCCUUGGCACUCAAUGCAGUGACAGGUUUUGACCUGUGGGGGGCAGUGCUGGCCAUGGGCUUGGUGUGCACUCUCUAUACUGCUCUGG